This 77-nucleotide transfer RNA is filed under the name Felis catus (domestic cat). Its description in RNAcentral is "tRNA-OTHER". The record is from RNAcentral. Lineage: Eukaryota; Metazoa; Chordata; Mammalia; Carnivora; Felidae.
CCGGCCUGGCUCAGUUGGUAGAGCAUGGAUGGAACUCUUCAUCUUAAAGUCCUGAGUUCCAAACCUAUGGUGGGAGC